AUGCGAUAAGUAAUAUGAAUUGCAGAUAUUCGUGAAUCAUCGAAUCUUUGAACGCACAUUGCGCCCUUUGGUAUUCCAAAGGGCAUGCCUGUUUGAGCGUCAUUUCUCCCUCAAACCCUCGGGUUUGGUGUUGAGCGAUACGCUGGGUUUGCUUGAAAGAAAGGCGGAGUAUAAACUAAUGGAUAGGUUUUUUCCACUCAUUGGUACAAACUCCAAAACUUCUUCCAAAUUCGACCUCAAAUCAGGUAGGACUACCCGCUGAACUUAA
Molecule: unclassified non-coding RNA, 268 nt
Filed under: uncultured Candida
Lineage: Eukaryota; Fungi; Ascomycota; Saccharomycetes; Saccharomycetales
Description: partial contains 5.8S ribosomal RNA, internal transcribed spacer 2, and large subunit ribosomal RNA
Rfam family: 5.8S ribosomal RNA (bases 1-102)
Source: RNAcentral